Molecule: ribosomal RNA, 404 nt
Filed under: uncultured bacterium
Lineage: Bacteria
Description: bacterial SSU rRNA
Rfam family: Bacterial small subunit ribosomal RNA
Source: RNAcentral
UGAGGAAUAUUGCCCAAUGGACGCAAGUCUGAGGCAGCAACGCCGCGUGGGUGAUGAUGGCCUUCGGGUUGUAAAACCCUUUUCCGAGGGACGAGUAAGGACGGUACCUCAGGAAUAAGUCACGGCUAACUACGUGCCAGCAGCCGCGGUAAUACGUAGGUGGCUAGCGUUAUCCGGAUUUAUUGGGCGUAAAGCGCGUGCAGGCGGUUCUGUAAGUCGGACGUGAAAGCUCCUGGCUUAACUGGGAGAGGUCGUUCGAUACCGCGGGGCUUGAGGUCGGGAGAGGGACGUGGAAUUCCCGGUGUAGUGGUGGAAUGCGUAGAUACCGGGAGGAACACCAGUGGCGAAAGCGACGUCCUAGCCCGCACCUGACGCUAAGACGCGAAAGCGUGGGGAGCGAACGG